This 576-nucleotide ribosomal RNA is filed under the name Helicotylenchus sp. V-2. RNAcentral's name for it is "eukaryotic LSU rRNA". The stretch from base 401 to 576 matches the Rfam family "Eukaryotic large subunit ribosomal RNA", at positions 665 to 813 of the family's 3401-position model. The record is from RNAcentral. Lineage: Eukaryota; Metazoa; Nematoda; Chromadorea; Rhabditida; Hoplolaimidae.
CCGAUGAGGUGGAAACGGACAGAGCUGGCGUAUCUGGCCUGCAUUCAGCCGCCGUGCGUCGGGCCCCGGUUUGCCGCUCUCCAGAUUGGGAAGGUGGCUGGGGCGCUGGCGUUGCGGUGGUGCAUUUGCAGGUGGAGUGCGCCGAGGCGCUCGGCUCAGCGGCAUGAGCUCGGCUUUGAGGCCAACCGCGCAAGCGGUCUGGUACCCGGGUCGGGGGAGUGCUGUUUGGGCUGGGUGUUCGCCAUGGGUUGUGGUUUCGGGCCCGGGUGGGUGCUGAGCUGGCGGUCGGCGGCGGUCGCAUGCGACACGUGCCAUCAGUCAGUUCGGUCCUGCUCGAGCUCUCAGCUGCCCGGCCUCGGUGUAAAAGCCGGUCAUCUGUCCGACCCGUCUUGAAACACGGACCAAGGAGUUUAGCGUGUGCGCGAGUCAUUGGGCGUUGAAAACCCAAAGGCGCAAUGAAAGUGAAGGUCUGCCUUGUGCAGCUGAUGUGUGAUCCUGGGUGCCGCGGUGCCCGGGCGCAACAUAGUCCCGUCCCGACUGCAUGCAGUGGGGCGGAGACAGAGCGUACGCGCUGAG